UCCAUUUAUGGACAGAUUGCCCAGCCCGAGACGAGGCUCAGCCAGAGGAGUACGGAGUAAGUGGCCGAAGAAAGAGGGGAGAGACUGAGGAACUAGGCACAGGCACCGAGCGCAUAAAACUCACUUAGUCAACCGGCGAGCGCGGGGCCUGAGUGGACCCUGCCCUCUGCAACAUGCGCCCAGUCUGCUAAAUCGCCCCCCUCUCGCCCUCACCUAGCACCGCCGAUCCCGCCUGGAUGGAGUCCCUUCUGGGUUCCCAUUGGCUCCUGUGAGUGCUUGGGUGUCGGGAGCCUGUUUUUGGCGAAGGGAACCAACUUUUGAAGUUCACCCAGGAGACUGCGUUCCGGCCCCAGCUCCGCGGCUGCCGGACCGGGUGGAGGCGCGACCGCGGCGCAAGUCACCAUGGGAAGCAAGGGUGCCUACCGGUACCACUGGCAGAGCCACAAUGUCAAGCACAGUGGCGUGGAUGACAUGGUACUGCUCUCCAAGAUCACGGAGAACGCCAUCGUGGAGAAUCUGAAGAAGAGAUACAUGGACGACUACAUUUUUACAUAUAUAGGAUCUGUACUAAUCUCAGUCAACCCUUUCAAGCAGAUGCCAUAUUUUGGGGAAAAGGAAAUUGAAAUGUACCAAGGAGCGGCACAGUAUGAAAACCCACCACAUAUCUAUGCCCUUGCAGAUAAUAUGUACAGAAACAUGAUCAUUGACAGAGAGAACCAGUGUGUCAUCAUCAGUGGUGAAAGUGGUGCUGGAAAGACAGUAGCUGCCAAGUACAUCAUGAGUUAUGUCUCCAGAGUGUCUGGAGGAGGCCCCAAAGUUCAGCACGUGAAAGACAUCAUCCUGCAGUCCAACCCGCUGCUGGAGGCCUUCGGAAACGCCAAGACUGUCCGAAACAACAACUCCAGUCGAUUUGGAAAAUACUUUGAAAUCCAGUUCAGUCCAGGUGGAGAACCAGAUGGUGGAAAGAUCUCCAACUUCCUUCUGGAAAAAUCCAGGGUGGUGAUGAGGAACCCUGGAGAGCGGAGUUUUCACAUAUUUUAUCAGCUCAUUGAGGGCGCCUCUGCAGAGCAGAAACACAGCCUGGGCAUCACCAGCAUGGAUUAUUAUUACUACCUGAGCCUUUCCGGGUCCUACAAGGUGGAUGACAUCGACGACAGGCGGGAGUUUCAGGAAACCCUGCACGCGAUGAAUGUGAUCGGGAUCUUUGCAGAGGAGCAAACACUGGUGCUGCAGAUAGUGGCUGGCGUGCUGCACCUGGGCAACAUUAGCUUCAAGGAGGUUGGCAAUUACGCCGCAGUGGAGAGCGAGGAGUUUUUGGCUUUUCCUGCAUACCUGCUGGGAAUAAACCAGGACCGGUUAAAAGAAAAGCUCACAAGCCGCCAGAUGGAUAGUAAGUGGGGAGGCAAGUCCGAGUCCAUCCACGUGACCCUCAACGUGGAGCAGGCCUGUUACACCAGAGAUGCGCUCGCCAAGGCCCUGCAUGCCCGGGUCUUUGAUUUCUUGGUAGAUUCCAUCAAUAAGGCAAUGGAGAAAGACCAUCAAGAAUACAACAUUGGUGUCCUGGACAUCUAUGGCUUUGAAAUAUUCCAAAAAAAUGGCUUUGAACAGUUUUGUAUCAAUUUUGUUAAUGAAAAAUUACAGCAGAUCUUUAUUGAACUGACAUUAAAGACGGAACAGGAAGAAUAUGUUCAAGAGGGAAUAAGAUGGACACCCAUUGAGUACUUCAAUAACAAAAUCGUGUGUGACCUCAUAGAGAACAAAGUCAACCCUCCUGGGAUCAUGAGCAUCCUGGAUGACGUGUGUGCCACGAUGCACGCGGUGGGUGAGGGCGCAGAUCAGACGCUGCUGCAGAAGCUCCAGAUGCAGAUUGGGAAUCACGAGCACUUCAACAGCUGGAACCAAGGCUUCAUUAUUCACCACUAUGCUGGGAAGGUCUCCUAUGACAUGGAUGGCUUUUGUGAGCGGAACCGUGACGUGCUUUUUAUGGAUCUGAUCGAGCUUAUGCAGAGCAGCGAGCUACCUUUCAUAAAGUCUUUAUUUCCGGAAAAUUUGCAAGCUGACAAGAAAGGGCGCCCAACUACUGCCGGAAGCAAAAUAAAGAAACAAGCCAAUGACCUUGUAAGCACCCUGAUGAAGUGCACACCCCACUACAUCCGCUGCAUAAAACCCAAUGAAACCAAGAAGCCCAGAGAUUGGGAAGAAAGCAGGGUAAAGCAUCAAGUAGAAUACCUGGGUCUGAAAGAAAACAUUCGCGUGAGAAGAGCUGGUUACGCUUAUCGGCGCAUCUUUCAAAAAUUCCUACAGAGAUACGCCAUUCUGACCAAAGCCACCUGGCCAUCAUGGAGAGGGGACGAGAAGCAAGGUGUUCUCCACCUGCUGCAGUCCGUCAACAUGGACAGCGACCAGUUCCAGCUGGGGAGAAGUAAAGUGUUCAUCAAAGCCCCCGAGUCUCUUUUUCUUCUGGAAGAGAUGAGAGAGCGAAAGUAUGAUGGAUAUGCUCGAGUGAUUCAGAAAUCAUGGAGGAAGUUCGUGGCGAGGAAAAAAUACGUCCAAAUGAGAGAAGAAGCCUCAGAUCUCUUGCUGAACAAGAAGGAGAGAAGGAGAAACAGUAUUAAUAGGAACUUCAUCGGGGAUUACAUUGGGAUGGACGAGCACCCCGAACUCCAGCAGUUUGUGGGCAAGAGGGAGAAGAUUGACUUUGCAGACACCGUCACCAAGUACGACAGGAGGUUCAAGGGUGUAAAGCGAGACUUGCUUCUUACCCCAAAGUGUUUGUACUUAAUUGGACGAGAAAAGGUAAAACAGGGUCCAGACAAAGGCCUCGUGAAAGAAGUGCUGAAGCGGAAAAUUGAGAUGGAGAGGAUCUUGUCUGUAUCCCUCAGUACUAUGCAGGAUGACAUUUUUAUUCUCCAUGAGCAAGAGUAUGACAGUUUGCUUGAAUCCGUCUUCAAAACUGAAUUCUUAAGCCUCUUAGCAAAGCGUUAUGAGGAAAAAACCCAGAAGCAACUACCUCUGAAAUUCAGCAAUACGCUUGAACUGAAGCUGAAAAAGGAGAACUGGGGUCCCUGGAGUGCAGGCGGCUCCCGGCAAGUGCAAUUCCACCAAGGCUUCGGCGACAUGGCCGUCCUCAAGCCCAGUAACAAAGUGCUGCAGGUCAGCAUCGGACCCGGUCUGCCCAAGAACUCCCGUCCUACCAGAAGGAACACGAUCCAAAACCAAGUUUAUUCCAGUGGGACUCAAAAUGCCAACUACCCAAUGAGAGUUGCCCCUCCUCCUCCAGGAUACCAUCAGAAUGGAGUCAUCAAAAACAAGUUUGUGCCACACCCCCAUGGCCUUGGAAACCAGAGGUCCAAUCAGAAAAGCCUGUAUACCUCCAUGGCCCGCCCACCCUUGCCAAGGCAACAGUCCACUGGCUCAGACCGAGUGUCCCAGACACCCGAGAGCCUGGAUUUCCUCAAGGUUCCAGACCAGGGCGCUGCGGGGACAGAAAACGAAGAGUGGUGAAAUGAGCCCAGGCUUUUUGGCCUGAGGAAGUGAAGAUUCUGGAGCUCUCUACAGACAUUUGAAGAUCUAUCAGUUUGAGUAUGAAUUUGAUAUGUCCUAUGGAGUUGCAAAGGAUAGAACCAAGACCUUAAGACCAGUGUGUAGGAUCUACCAGGAGGUAGAUUUGAUAUCAGUAAAAAAAGAACAUUCCAGUAGUCCAAAGAUGAGCUGCCCUAGGAUGUAAGGAGCACCUUGUCCCUGGAAGUAUUCAGGCACUGAGUGGAUUGAAAUCAUCAGGCAGAAAUGUUGUCAAGGGAUAUUAUCAAGUGUUCGAUAAGGGAGAAGUCAGACCUGGGUGACAACCCUAUUUCAGUCCUGUACUAACUAUCUAAGAGUGGACAUGCUGCCUGUCCUCUCUAAACUUCAGUUUCCACUUCUGCACACAAGCUGCAGGGUUAUUGGGAAGGCUAGAAAUAUUCUAUGGAAAAUACCUAGUAUGCUACUUGGCAUGGAGGAGGCUGGCUGCUCAGCCAAUUGUGGCUCGAUGAUGAUGAUGAUGACGACGACGAUGAUACAACCACUGUCCCCUGGUGACUGAACUAGUGACCUUUCAAGAACCUUUCAACUCUGCAUGCUGCUCAGUGGAGGAGCAGUUCUUUGGGCUGAACCCAGUAAUAGGUCUGCUCCAGCUCCCUCUCUCACCUCUUCCCAUCCCUCAAGCCCAUCUCCGUGUCUCUAGAAAGAUGAAGAAGUUCCGGGUGGGGAUCAGGAGACUUGUGUAUAAACUAGAUCCAUGGAAGGAGAGAAAAUGACAGCUCUUUCCUCUGGGUGGGCAUCCAGAAUUUAUUAUCAGAUGUUUUUCCUACCUUGGCAGCAUCCUCCUAAAGACCACAAAGCUCUUAGAAAGAUUACCAUGGCCCUAUGUCCCUUUUCCUCUGGCAAGUUUUACCUCAUUUGGGUUACAGAUAUGAAAGCAUCUUAAUUUUAUCACAUAGACAGCCAUCAAUAGACUGGCUAGCUCCCUGUCUCUCUCUCUCACCCUCCCCUUCGUCUCUCCCUCCCCUUCCUCUUGUGUAAGCUGGGUAUAUCCGGUUUACCUGAUAGGCUUGGCUUCAUCUAGUGGUUCUCAACUUUAGUGUGCACCAGAAUCACAUGGAGGGCUUAUUAAAAGAACAGUUUGCUGGCCCACCUCUAGAGUUUCUCAUUCAGUAGGUCACGGAUGAGGCCGAGAAUUUUGCAUUUCUAACUCGAACCCAGGUGAUGCUGAUGCUGCUGGUCUAGGAACCACACGUGUCCGGAGACAAACGACCAGUCGGCCUCCCCCAGCAGGGGGCAGACCCAAGCCCCAGCCCAAGCCUAAGCCUCAGGUG
Molecule: RNA transcript, 4853 nt
Organism: Loxodonta africana (African savanna elephant)
Lineage: Eukaryota; Metazoa; Chordata; Mammalia; Proboscidea; Elephantidae
Gene: MYO1E
Gene name: myosin IE
Exons: 28
Source: RefSeq, a predicted model, not a curated record